CCUAUUAAUAGCAUAAUAGGAGUGUAUGCAGAAGAGGUUUCCUGCGCAAAAGAGUAUAGUUUUAAUCAUUUGGGUGGAUGUCCAAAAAUCAGCAGGUAUUGCAGCUUAAAAGGGUCGGGAAUGUCAGUUUGGGACAGAGUAGUUGAAGCUCAGCAUCUUAAAAAGGGACACUCCAAGCACCAUAACCACUACAGAUCACUGCCAUUUUUGAAUGGUUUGACUUCUUAC
This is a non-coding RNA of Pelobates cultripes (western spadefoot toad), 228 nucleotides long. The record is from the annotation of a GenBank genome assembly. Lineage: Eukaryota; Metazoa; Chordata; Amphibia; Anura; Pelobatidae.